UCCAUCAGCUCAAGUUGGGUUUUGCAGCAGCAGUUUUCCAGUGUCCUUUUGGAACUUUCUAGUAAUGUGUGGGCUGAAUGAGUAGUUGGGAGGCUGCAUCUGGACUCCAUCAGUAGUUAGUGGCUAAGAAUAUUGGUGAGCUUCAUGGAUUUUGUGCAUUUUAUCUUCUACAGCCUUAAGGGUCCAUGUGAUUGUCGGGUGAAAUCUCGUGGGCAGGGUGAAAUGUGUACGGGCGGGUGAAAUUUCACCCACCCGACUGAAAACACAUCAAACGGGGUGACAUUUCACAUGUUUAACGCAAAAGGGAGCAGGUGAAAUUUCACCCGCUCGACAUUUUCAUCUCAUAGUCCGUCGCACCUCUCCUCUUCCCUCCGCAGGUCCUCCUCCCCCGCAUUCCUGCCUUCUCAUCAUCGCACCAGAGGCGUCACCGCUCUCACCGUCGGCUCUCCACUCGGCCGGGAAGAGGGACGCAGAGACAGGGCAGCAUCAACCACUGCCAUAGUUGCCACUCCUUCCCCUCUGUUACUGCCCCGUGAGACUCUCAAUAUCUCUCUCGCUUCUCCUCCUU
Long non-coding RNA from Nymphaea colorata (pocket water lily), 568 nucleotides. RefSeq lists it as uncharacterized. The transcript is spliced from 3 exons. NCBI's taxonomy places the organism in Eukaryota, Viridiplantae, Streptophyta, Magnoliopsida, Nymphaeales, Nymphaeaceae. The record is from RefSeq and is a predicted model, not a curated record.